RNAcentral lists this ribosomal RNA (331 nucleotides) under uncultured Anaerolineaceae bacterium. RNAcentral's name for it is "bacterial SSU rRNA". It matches the Rfam family "Bacterial small subunit ribosomal RNA", at positions 1040 to 1382 of the family's 1533-position model. Lineage: Bacteria; Bacillati; Chloroflexota; Anaerolineae; Anaerolineales; Anaerolineaceae. The record is from RNAcentral.
GCUGCAUGGCUGUCGUCAGCUCGUCGUCGUGAGAUGUUCGGUUAAGUCCGCUAACGAGCGCAACCCUCGCUGUGUGUUACAAGUGUCACACGGAACGGCCGGUCAUAAACCGGAGGAAGGUGGGGAUGACGUCAAGUCAGCAUGGCCUUUAUAUCCUGGGCUACACACACGCUACAAUGGGAAGGGACAAUAGGUUGCGAAGCCGCGAGGCGGAGCCAAUCCAGCAAAACUUCCCUCAGUUCAGAUUGCAGGCUGCAACUCGCCUGCAUGAAGUUGGAGUUGCUAGUAAACGCAGGUCAGCCAUACUGCGUUGAAUACGUUCCCGGGGCUU